RNAcentral lists this ribosomal RNA (497 nucleotides) under uncultured bacterium. Its description in RNAcentral is "partial 16S ribosomal RNA". It matches the Rfam family "Bacterial small subunit ribosomal RNA", at positions 28 to 507 of the family's 1533-position model. The record is from RNAcentral.
GAUGAACGCUGGCGGCGUGCCUAAUACAUGCAAGUCGAGCGAACAGACGAGGAGCUUGCUCCUCUGACGUGAGCGGCGGACGGGUGAGUAACACGUGGAUAACCUACCUAUAAGACUGGGAUGACUUCGGGAAACCGGAGCUAAUACCGGAUAAUAUAUUGAACCGCAUGGUUCAAUAGUGAAAGACGGUUUUGCUGUCACUUAUAGAUGGAUCCGCGCCGCAUUAGCUAGUUGGUAAGGUAACGGCUUACCAAGGCGACGAUGCGUAGCCGACCUGAGAGGGUGAUCGACCACACUGGAAGUGAGACACGGUCCAGACUCCUACGGGAGGCAGCAGUAGGGAAUCUUCCGCAAUGGGCGAAAGCCUGACGGAGCAACGCCGCGUGAGUGAUGAUGGUCUUCGGAUCGUAAAACUCUGUUAUUAGGGAAGAACAAAUGUGUAAGUAACUAUGCACGUCUUGACGGUACCUAAUCAGAAAGCCACGGCUAACUACGUG